Molecule: ribosomal RNA, 465 nt
Filed under: uncultured bacterium
Lineage: Bacteria
Description: partial 16S ribosomal RNA
Rfam family: Bacterial small subunit ribosomal RNA
Source: RNAcentral
GAUGAACGCUGGCGGCGUGCUUAACACAUGCAAGUCGAACGGAAAGGCCUCUGCUUGCAGGGGUACUCGAGUGGCGAACGGGUGUGUAACACGCGGGUGAUAUGCCCUGCACUUCGGGAUAUGCCUGCGAAACUGGGUCUAAUACCGGAUAGGACAAUGUUAUGGAUGCCGUUGUGGAAAGUUGUUCGGUGUGGGAUGGGCUCGUGGCCUAUGAGCUUGUUGGUGGGGUAAUGGCCUACCAAGGCGUCGACGGGUAGCCGGCCUGAGAGGGUGUACGGCCACAUUGGGACUGAGAUACGGCCCAGAAGCCUACGGGAGGCAGUGGUGGGGAGUAUUGCACAAUGGGCGCAAGCCUGAUGCAGCGACGCCGCGUGCGGGAUGCCGGCCUUCGAGGGGUAAACUCCUUUCGCUAGAGACGAAGCGCAAGUGACGGUACCUGGAGAAGAAGCACCGGCUAACUACGUG